RNAcentral lists this RNase P RNA (255 nucleotides) under Pseudomonas chlororaphis. RNAcentral's name for it is "partial RNase P RNA component class A". It matches the Rfam family "Bacterial RNase P class A", at positions 97 to 367 of the family's 367-position model. From Rfam's summary of the family: Ribonuclease P (RNase P) is a ubiquitous endoribonuclease, found in archaea, bacteria and eukarya as well as chloroplasts and mitochondria. Its best characterised activity is the generation of mature 5'-ends of tRNAs by cleaving the 5'-leader elements of precursor-tRNAs. Cellular RNase Ps are ribonucleoproteins. Lineage: Bacteria; Pseudomonadati; Pseudomonadota; Gammaproteobacteria; Pseudomonadales; Pseudomonadaceae. The record is from RNAcentral.
AGCCUACGGAAAGUGCCACAGAAAAUAACCGCCUAAGCACUUCGGUGCCGGUAAGGGUGAAAAGGUGCGGUAAGAGCGCACCGCACGUCUGGCAACAGUUCGUGGCUAGGUAAACCCCACUCGGAGCAAGACCAAAUAGGGUUCCAAGGCGUGGCCCGCGCUGGAACCGGGUAGGUUGCUAAAGAUGUCCAGUGAUGGCCAUCGUAGAGGAAUGACUGUCCUCGACAGAACCCGGCUUACAGAUCGACUCUCCAC